This 600-nucleotide long non-coding RNA is filed under the name Elaeis guineensis (African oil palm). Its description in RNAcentral is "long non-coding RNA (EGUI_LNC079094)". Lineage: Eukaryota; Viridiplantae; Streptophyta; Magnoliopsida; Arecales; Arecaceae. The record is from RNAcentral.
GCGCCCUUGCAUGCAUGAAGGAAAAGGGGAUGCCAAUAGUUGGUGUCCCAUCUCUCUAGGUCUCUCUUUUCUUUUUGGACACUCUUUUCUAUUUGAAUUUGAUUCAGAUUAGGAAGAGUAUCCUAUCCCAUAUGGUAAGAGGUUGGGAGGUUUUUGUGCGGCAAAAUUAAAAAGGACGGCAUGUAUUGGCAUGCAAGGGGUUCAAGAUGUUUUCUUACUUGCUGUAAGACUUUCUCAAUGCCAUCUCUCCCUCCUUUCUUCCACAUCCCAACGCCCCUUCUCUCUCUAGAUAGGAUCUGAGAGAGAGAGUGAUCAAAGAGAGAGAAAAAGAAGAAAAAGGAGUUUUCUUCUUUUCUUGAUGGUCCUAUUCAGAUCCCAUCAGAUCAGCACGAUGAGAUCGUACUGCAGUCCUGUUAUUGGAGAUCUUGAAAGAGCCCAGAUCCAAGUAAAGGAGCGAGGCCUAUAAGGUUCUGGCAUUCCGGUGGUCUCGGUGCUCUAAUUAGGUCAUCUUCAUAUGGGUACUAGUAAAGGUUAGGCACUUGCAUGGCUACGUCAGAAAUCUAGAAAAUCCAUAGGAUUCGAUCCGAGUAAGACAAUGGA